GCUGAGCGGAAGCAGGGGUCACGUGGCUGAGGAAGGCGGAAGUGCGUGUCUUUGACCGUGGUACGUGUCUGCCACCGUUCUCCCCAGAGCUGACCAUCCGGAAGGUCACUUAAGAGUCGCGAGUGCUCCUGAACUGGCGAGCGACUGUCCGCCCAACCUCCUCGGCACUUUCUUGGCCUUUUGCUGGACCAGGAAGUCCUGAGUCAAUUUCCCAGCGGAGCACCACUUUUCCGGACCCACAACAAGCGAUCUCUGCGGUCAGUCAGCCUGUGGGGCUACAAGAGCAAUGUGGAUAUUAGACCCUUGCUCAAGAAUGAAGAAUUUGAAGUGUGACCUUUGACAUCAGCAGGUCCGCCCUCCUUCCCACCCCCACAUUAAGGCUUGAGGUCAGCAACAAGAGGUCCGGGAUCCUUCAUCCAUGGCAAGGGGAGCCCGCCGCUUGCCAUCCAUUACACAAGCACAAGGCCGGACCCACACGCUGCACCCAGCGUGGCUCCAGGGGCUUACAUCUCAGUGGACAGCAACUCCGCCCGGCCCUUCGUUCCUGUACAAAAGAAUGGGGUCACCCUUGACUCCUCCUCUCCCCCUACCUCCAGUCCAUCAAGAAAUUCUGAUGGCUCUGAACUUAAAAUUAGAUCCACGAGAAUAGCAUCCAUCCUCAAGAAACACAGAAGUUCGAAAUCAAGCUGGUGGCAGAAUCGGUUCCUGCUAGAGGCUGUUGGGGGAGAAUCUGACCCAGGC
Artibeus jamaicensis (Jamaican fruit-eating bat) is the source of this 741-nucleotide long non-coding RNA. RefSeq lists it as uncharacterized. Lineage: Eukaryota; Metazoa; Chordata; Mammalia; Chiroptera; Phyllostomidae. The transcript is spliced from 3 exons. The record is from RefSeq and is a predicted model, not a curated record.